UGCUAAACGACUAGCCCUUUUAAUGCUUAAAUUUAAUUUAUAACUAACAUGAUAAUACACUUAAUGCAUAAACUAAAUCAUUCUUACCCCUCAGUAUAGGUGAUAGAAACGGAAUUUGUGGAGCGAUAGAACUAGUACCGUAAGGGAAAACUGAAAUAUCAAAUGAAAACUCUUAAGCAAAAAACAGCAAAGACUUACCCUUGUACCUUUUGCAUCAUGAUCUAACUAGUCAUAUCAGGCAAAGAGAACUUUAGUCUGACACCCCGAAACUAAGUGAGCUACUUCGAGUCAGUCUAAUUAUGGGACCAACCCGUCUCUGUGGCAAAAGAGUGGGAAGAACUCCAAGUAGAGGUGAUAAACCUACCGAGCUUAGUGAUAGCUGGUUACCUAGAAAAUGAAUAUAAGUUCAGCCCCGCCCAUCCACUAACCCCAUCAAUAAUUUAAUCUUUGGCCUAGUGCUAACCCGGGAGUUACUCAAGAGAGGUACAGCUCUCUUGAGAAAGGAUUCAACCUUGCACGGGAGGAUAAAACUCAUUUAUGAUUAAGGUCUAUAUGGCCUUAGUAGGCCUAAAAGCAGCCACCUUUGAAGAUAGCGUUAAAGCUCAAGCUAUAAUACCCCAUUAAUAAGGAUUAAUUAUUUAAAUCCCCCUGUUUUACUAGGUCAUUCUAUUUAUAAAUAGAAAAGACUAUGUUUGAACGAGUAGUCAGAGAGCUAUUUACCUCUCUCUUUGCAUAAGUGUAUCUCGGAUCGGAUUACCCACCGAAUAUUAUUCGACUUCAAAUACAGAGAUACUUGGGAAUUUUUACAUCUCCUAGAAAAACCCCCAUAUUUGUAUCGUUAAUCUAACACAAGUGUGCUAAUAAGAAAGAUUUAAAGAGGAGGAAGGAACUCGGCAAACACUAGCCCCGCCUGUUUACCAAAAACAUCACCUCUUGCUAAUCAACGAAUAAGAGGCCACGCCUGCCCGGUGACUUAAAGUUUAACGGCCGCGGUAUUAUGACCGUGCAAAGGUAGCGUAAUCACUUGUCUUUUAAAUGGAGACCCGUAUGAAUGGCGAAACGAGGGCAAAACUGUCUUCCCCCCCUAAUCAACGAAACUGAUCUCCCCGUGCAGAAGCGGGGAUAAUACCACAAGACGAGAAGACCCUGUGGAGCUUUAGACUUUAAGGAGCCCACCUCAAGUACUCGUAGAAAAGUAAAACCAAGUGCCCCUCCCCUAAAUGUCUUUGGUUGGGGCGACCGCGGAGACAAGACUAACCCCCGCGUGGAUAGGGCUACCCCUAUAACCCAGAGCUACAGCUCUAAGUAUCAGAAUACCUGACCUUGAAUGAUCCGGCCUGCCGAUCAACGAACCGAGUUACCCCAGGGAUAACAGCGCAAUCCUCUUCUAGAGCCCAUAUCGACAAGGGGGUUUACGACCUCGAUGUUGGAUCAGGAUAUCCUAAUGGUGCAGCCGCUAUUUAAGGUUCGUUUGUUCAACGAUUAAAAUCCUACGUGAUCUGAGUUCAGACCGGAGAAAUCCAGGUCAGUUUCUAUCUGUGAGGAUAUCUUUUCUAGUACGAAAGGACCGGGAAGAUGGGGCCUAUCCCACAGGUACGCCUCCUCCCUGCCCGCUGAACUCAACUAAAGCGAAUUGAGGGAUUUGACCGUACGCCGUAGAGUACGGCUU
This 1669-nucleotide ribosomal RNA is filed under the name Desmodema polystictum (polka-dot ribbonfish). Its description in RNAcentral is "16S rRNA". The stretch from base 94 to 1590 matches the Rfam family "Bacterial large subunit ribosomal RNA". The record is from RNAcentral. Lineage: Eukaryota; Metazoa; Chordata; Actinopteri; Lampriformes; Trachipteridae.